GGGAUUGUGGCUCAAGUAGUAGAGUGCUUGCCUAGCACACAUGAGGCACUGGGUUCAAUCCUCAGCAACACA
Molecule: transfer RNA, 72 nt
Filed under: Marmota monax (woodchuck)
Lineage: Eukaryota; Metazoa; Chordata; Mammalia; Rodentia; Sciuridae
Description: tRNA.Ala
Source: RNAcentral